CAUCGGGUGCUAACGUCCGGUGUCAAGAGGGAAACAACCCAGACCGCCAGCUAAGGUCCCAAAGAUUGGCUAAGUGGAAAACGAAGUGGGAAGGCUAAAACAGUCAGGAUGUUGGCUUAGAAGCAGCCACCCUUUAAAGAAAGCGUAAUAGCUCACUGAUCGAGUCGUCCUGCGCGGAAGAUGUAACGGGGCUAAGCCAGUCACCGAAGCUGCGGAUAUCCGUAAGGAUAUGGUAGGAGAGCGUUCUGUAAGCCUGCGAAGGUGUCUUGUAAAGGAUGCUGGAGGUAUCAGAAGUGCGAAUGCUGACAUGAGUAGCGAUAAUGCGGGUGAAAAGCCCGCUCGCCGGAAGACCAAGGGUUCCUGUCCAACGUUAAUCGGGGCAGGGUGAGACGACCCCUAAGGCGAGGCCGAAA
This 413-nucleotide ribosomal RNA is filed under the name Acinetobacter baumannii. RNAcentral describes it as "partial 23S ribosomal RNA". It matches the Rfam family "Bacterial large subunit ribosomal RNA", at positions 989 to 1407 of the family's 2925-position model. The record is from RNAcentral. Lineage: Bacteria; Pseudomonadati; Pseudomonadota; Gammaproteobacteria; Moraxellales; Moraxellaceae.